CUCUUCACAAGGCCCAUUGAUUUUAGGCCCAAGUUCAUUAUGCCUACCAAUCUCAGACCCAUCUCACGUGAGCGCAAUCCACCAGACCAAAUUCCUUGAGCCUACCAGUUCAGUGAGGUACAAACUGAUCCUAGGUCAAUCGUCUUCCUCUUCCGUGUCGCCGCCUCAUGGAUUUUCUGCAAUCUGGCCAAGCACGUUUUCGUGCCUUCGAAGCUUCUCUGCCAACAAUCCUUCAUGAUCUGACAUCGUCUCACCGUGCUUUGUAGAGAUUAACUAAGUCUUCUCAUCUAAAAUCAAAAAUCGAUACUUCCUGUUCAGAUCUUAUUACCUGAAAAACUGGAUGUGAGCGUUGAAUAGGGCCGAUCUGAAAGUACAUCAUCUCUAGAACUUCAGUAACAUCUGAGAACUCAAAUAAGUAGCUUCUUUGAUAAAACCGACGCCAACUCAAAAGGAAAGUUCCAGGAAAAAUGAAGCAAUCAAUUCCCUACCAGUCGAAUUAAAAAAUGAUAGGACGUUCACGGAAGCAAGCCAGUCGUUGGAUCUAUCAAUGAUAUCCUGAUGCUACCCAAAGGAAAUAGCUGGAGCAACCACCAUCUGACACUUUCCAAUCUGAGCCCGAAUGAAAUCAAAGAGAUAUAUGGCACACGGCUUAUUGGAGAAGACCAAGCUCGUGGGCUUGUUGGUCUAAUGGAUUUCUUUUGUUCAAUGAGGUUUGUAAGUUUCCCUGCCCCAUUCCAGUUCUAUGUUAUGUCAUUCAUGAACAACCAAUGAGAAAUAUACAUAUACUGGUGAAGAAA
This is a long non-coding RNA of Cucumis melo (muskmelon), 797 nucleotides long. RefSeq lists it as uncharacterized. Lineage: Eukaryota; Viridiplantae; Streptophyta; Magnoliopsida; Cucurbitales; Cucurbitaceae. The record is from RefSeq and is a predicted model, not a curated record. The transcript has 2 exons.